AGCACCUUCAUAUGCUGUGAGCCCGUUGCCAAGUUAGCUCUCAACACAUGGAGAACGGCCCAGAACGAUGAGCUCCUCUGGACCAGAGUCCGGGUUCGUCUGUCACUGCCACUUUCCCCGUUAGCCCUGAAGAGGAGGACAAUGGGUGAAGGCAAGAGUCACACCUGACUGUAUGAGAGAGUGGCUCCACCGAGGUCCCCAUAUGACAUGUGCUGAACUCAGCAGGCGGCGUGACAGGCCUAUCUGGGAGAGAGAGAGAGAGUGGUCUCAGUGUGCUUGUUCCAAGCUUCCAGCGCCGGGUCACGGGACCGAGGGGUGAGCAGCUUACACUAUGUCAGGAGUGGAGGGCGACUACGUCAACAUGUGGUUAUGCACCUGCAAUAACAACUGUCCGCCCAUUCAUACAUAACGUCGUACACCUAGGAGCUACAUUCUGGCCAGCCCACCACUAAAAGAGCCUUGCUGGUUGGUGCGCAGAUUAAUUGCACAUCUGGUAUCAGUUAGGGCUGCAUACUUGGCACCGCUGAGGCUUCUACAGUCGAGGAAAGCAGCACGUUCCAGGAGCCCGGCCCAGCCUCUGACUCUCCCCCACGUCUCCUGGUUAGAAACAGGACACAUUUGUCUCUGAGGGAUUUUGACCCUUGA
This is a long non-coding RNA of Oncorhynchus keta (chum salmon), 645 nucleotides long. RefSeq lists it as uncharacterized. Lineage: Eukaryota; Metazoa; Chordata; Actinopteri; Salmoniformes; Salmonidae. The transcript is spliced from 3 exons. The record is from RefSeq and is a predicted model, not a curated record.